This 298-nucleotide unclassified non-coding RNA is filed under the name Hevea brasiliensis (rubber tree). Lineage: Eukaryota; Viridiplantae; Streptophyta; Magnoliopsida; Malpighiales; Euphorbiaceae. The record is from RNAcentral.
GCACCCCUCCACCUGUAAUUCUAAUGAUCUUGUUACUAUAGGGUAUUUGUUUAGGAUGCAGUUGUUAUAUCUUGUAUUAGUGUUAUUGUGUUUUAUGUUAUACCAUUAGUUAAUCUAUGUGAUAAUUGGUAUAAUCUAUGUGAUUAUGGUCUAAAGCGUUUUUGAUAAGCAAGUUCUUUGCAUCAUUUGGUUCAAGCUUUACUAAGUGGAUUUAUUUGCGUUUAAUGAAAGGUAAAACCAUGGCUUUCAUUUCAUUGGACAAAGAAUCUUAGUAUCAGCCACUAAUAUUUUUCUUUUA